This is a long non-coding RNA of Vitis vinifera (wine grape), 1395 nucleotides long. RefSeq lists it as uncharacterized. The record is from RefSeq and is a predicted model, not a curated record. The transcript is spliced from 2 exons. NCBI's taxonomy places the organism in Eukaryota, Viridiplantae, Streptophyta, Magnoliopsida, Vitales, Vitaceae.
UUCUUCAUCUGGAGCUUUAUUGGGUAUUAUGUUUGGACUAGUAUUUACUAGUUUGAUGAUUGUUUAAAGGGGAAAUUGCCAGGAGACAAGAAAUAGCAGUGAAAAGGCUUUCAAGAGCAUCUGCCCAGGGGCUUGAAGAAUUUCUGAAUGAGGUUAUGGUGAUUUCUAAUGUCCAACACCGAAACCUUGUUAGACUUCUUGGCUGCUGCACUGAAGGAGAUGAAAAGAUGUUGGUCUACGCGUACCUGCCAAAUAAAAGCUUGGAUGCCUUUCUCUUUGAUUAGAUCAUGCUACUGCCCCUUCUCUUAUCUAUAGUUGCUGAAAUUUUAUCGCUCCACAUCAAUUGUCUCUUACCUUUUGUUUUCUGUCUUGGAUGCUAUUCAUUUAGAUCCUGUCAAGCGGGAUUCUCUAACUUGGAGGAGACACUUUAGCAUUCUUGAAGGGAUUGCCAGAGGCCUUCUUUACCUCACAGGGAUUCUAGAUUAUGAAUUAUUCAUCGGGACCUUUAAGGCAAGUAACAUUUUAUUAAAUGAAGACAUGAAUCCUAAAAUUUUAGAUUUUGGUAUGGCCAAGAUAUUUCAAGGCAAUCAGGAUAAAGCCAACACGGUCAGGGUUGCUGGAAGAUAGUAAAUAGCCCUUGCUUUCUCCAAGUUCCCUUGGAUCCAGUAUUUAUUUCUGUCUCAAUGACAAACUGCAGUGGCUAUAUAUCUCCUUAGUAUGCAAUGGAAGGGAUUUUUUCAGAGAAGUCCGAUGUAUUCAGCUUUGGAGUAUUAUUAUUAGAGAUUAUAAGCGGGGAUAAAGAAUGCGGGCUUUUGUCAUGAUGAACAAUCUUUGAGCCUUUUAGGACACGCAUGGAAGUGGAAUGAAGACAACAUGGAAGCAUUUAUAGAUGGGAGUAUGUCAGAAGAAUGCUACCAAGAGGAGAUAUAGAGAUGCUGUUAUGUGUGCAAGAAUUAGCCAAAGAUCGGCCAUCCAUUUCAAUUGUCGUUUCUAUGCUCUGUAGUGAAAUUGCUCAUCUUCCUCCCCCAAAGCCACCUGCAUAUAGUGAGAGGCAGAUUACAAUAGAUACAGAGUCCUCCAGGAGCCAAAACUUGUGUUCAGUGAACCGAGUAACUGUUACAAACGUCCAAGCCCGGUAGAAAUUAGGUUAGAGAAAAUUGAAUCUUUAUUUGUAAUGUAUAUUUUGAUGAUUUCUGUGGGAAGACUCUGCUCGUCCUCUUUUCAAGCGGCCCAUGAAGCUAUAGUUACAAGAAACUAUCAGUUUUGUUGAUUUUGAUACUUUAUUACUCAAGCAAAAUCUCUACACCUUGAAAUAAAAACAUGCAGAACAGAGAAAUCUCAUUGGAAAUUAGAAUAUUAAUACUUUAUACUCUUCUAUGGAUUGAAUUGUUUCUG